UGGGGAAUAUUGGACAAUGGGCGCAAGCCUGAUCCAGCCAUACCGCGUGGGUGAAGAAGGCCUUCGGGUUGUAAAGCCCUUUUGUUGGGAAAGAAAAGCAGCCAGUUAAUACCUGGUUGUUCUGACGGUACCCAAAGAAUAAGCACCGGCUAACUUCGUGCCAGCAGCCGCGGUAAUACGAAGGGUGCAAGCGUUACUCGGAAUUACUGGGCGUAAAGCGUGCGUAGGUGGUUGUUUAAGUCUGUCGUGAAAGCCCUGGGCUCAACCUGGGAAUUGCGAUGGAAACUGGGCAACUAGAGUGUGGCAGAGGAUAGUGGAAUUCCUGGUGUAGCAGUGAAAUGCGUAGAGAUCAGGAGGAACAUCCGUGGCGAAGGCGACUGUCUGGGCCAACACUGACACUGAGGCACGAAAGCGUGGGGAGCAAACAGG
Molecule: ribosomal RNA, 429 nt
Filed under: uncultured bacterium
Lineage: Bacteria
Description: bacterial SSU rRNA
Rfam family: Bacterial small subunit ribosomal RNA
Source: RNAcentral